Molecule: long non-coding RNA, 524 nt
Organism: Schistocerca serialis cubense
Lineage: Eukaryota; Metazoa; Arthropoda; Insecta; Orthoptera; Acrididae
Exons: 3
Source: RefSeq, a predicted model, not a curated record
AUGGAUUUCUGUGCGGCCGUCUUAGUACUCCCGAAGAGACUGAAAGUUUUUCUUAGAUUUGGGAGUGUCAGAGAUCUAAAUCUGCUUAUGAUAUUGUCAUCACGAUUGUCAUGCGCUCAACUGAUGUGUUUGUUUAGAUUUCGUGAAUGGCAAAUGAAGGCGCCGAUGAUACGAUGAGCAUGAUUGGCUGACGAUCGAUUUUCCGAAUUCACAAAAUCGGAACAUUCCCCAGCAAGCAUGUUUAAAUGGUGAAUUAACAGGUGGUGACUUGCACCGAGAAGGACCAUAGACCCUGGGACCCAUACCAGAUAGGACUGAGAGAGUAUAUUGAACGUAUACAGAGAAGGGCAGCACAAUGGUCACAGGUUUGUUUAACCCAUGGGAGCGUGUCACAAAGAUACUGAAGGAACUGAUCUGGAAGACUCGUCAAGAUAGAUGUAAACUCUACUGAGAAAGUCUACUGACAAAGCUUAAAGAAGCAGCUAUAAGGGGCGGAUGUAAUAGAAAAUGUAAACAUUUAUUUA